GCCGAUGUAGCUCAGUGGUAGAGCAACGCUUUCGUAAAGCGUAGGUCGUGAGUUCGAAUCUCACCAUCGGCUCCA
RNAcentral lists this transfer RNA (75 nucleotides) under Planctomycetota bacterium. RNAcentral describes it as "Planctomycetes bacterium (activated sludge metagenome) tRNA-Thr". It matches the Rfam family "tRNA". Rfam says of the family: Transfer RNA (tRNA) molecules are approximately 80 nucleotides in length. Their secondary structure includes four short double-helical elements and three loops (D, anti-codon, and T loops). Lineage: Bacteria; Pseudomonadati; Planctomycetota. The record is from RNAcentral.